UUUAUUAUCCAUACAUUUAAUAGCUUUACUGUUUUUCUGUACAAGUAUUUCGAUAAUGAGAAGCUCCAGAAUAGUUAUAGUCCGUAGCACUGUUGUCUUUGGUUGCAAGCCCAAGAAAGGCUGGGCAGGCGUGAAUAUAGCCAACGUUAUCAAGUUCAUUAGAACUAUAGAUGGAUCCAUUAAAUGAAAAUACAGCUUAAAAAAUGCACACAAAUUUCCAUUAUGUCCCAAGUUGAAAAACAAUUUCUUUGCUUAAAAAAUCAAAAUCGUAAUUUUAUGGCCACAUUGCCCCACUGUGGCACAGCAUUGGGGACAGGACGUUGGGUAAACAACUUCAUUCAGUUUCAGUUCACAUUAAUGCAUCGUGAAUUAAGUGUCAAGGACAUUUUUUGGUUUUCGCAAACCAGCAGGACGGAACACAGCAGAACGCUGUAUGCAACAUGUGUCCAGUGUCUCUCUGCACGUCCUUGCCUCCCAGUGUGUGUGUAUCUCUGUGUCUCUGCGUGUGUGUCUGUGUUUUGGGUGACCGAAAAUGCGUUGCAACAUUCAAAACUCGCUCCACACACUCCACAGAUGAAAGGACAUUCGGACUUUGGACUUCAUCAUCAUCAUCAUGCUGCUGGUGGGGCACAAACACACGCUUGGUGUGGCAGGCAGGCAUCAGAGGCAGUUAUGCCUGUCAAGAUGAAUGCCAUAUCAUCGCCGCACCGAAAAUGGUGUCAAAACGUCACCAACGGCAGUUCCCU
This is a long non-coding RNA of Drosophila subobscura, 746 nucleotides long. RefSeq lists it as uncharacterized. The transcript has 3 exons. The record is from RefSeq and is a predicted model, not a curated record. NCBI's taxonomy places the organism in Eukaryota, Metazoa, Arthropoda, Insecta, Diptera, Drosophilidae.